This 495-nucleotide ribosomal RNA is filed under the name uncultured bacterium. RNAcentral describes it as "partial 16S ribosomal RNA". It matches the Rfam family "Bacterial small subunit ribosomal RNA", at positions 28 to 505 of the family's 1533-position model. The record is from RNAcentral.
GAUGAACGCUGGCGGCGUGCCUAAUACAUGCAAGUCGAGCGAACGGACGAGAAGCUUGCUUCUCUGAUGUUAGCGGCGGACGGGUGAGUAACACGUGGAUAACCUACCUAUAAGACUGGGAUAACUUCGGGAAACCGGAGCUAAUACCGGAUAAUAUUUUGAACCGCAUGGUUCAAAAGUGAAAGACGGUCUUGCUGUCACUUAUAGAUGGAUCCGCGCUGCAUUAGCUAGUUGGUAAGGUAACGGCUUACCAAGGCAACGAUGCAUAGCCGACCUGAGAGGGUGAUCGGCCACACUGGAACUGAGACACGGUCCAGACUCCUACGGGAGGCAGCAGUAGGGGAUCUUCCGCAAUGGGCGAAAGCCUGACGGAGCAACGCCGCGUGAGUGAUGAAGGUCUUCGGAUCGUAAAACUCUGUUAUUAGGGAAGAACAUAUGUGUAAGUAACUGUGCACAUCUUGACGGUACCUAAUCAGAAAGCCACGGCUAACUACG